UUAAGACUCUUUGUUUUGAUUUUGGU
RNAcentral lists this non-coding RNA (26 nucleotides) under Rattus norvegicus (Norway rat). Lineage: Eukaryota; Metazoa; Chordata; Mammalia; Rodentia; Muridae. The record is from RNAcentral.